Molecule: ribosomal RNA, 585 nt
Filed under: uncultured bacterium
Lineage: Bacteria
Description: partial 16S ribosomal RNA
Rfam family: Bacterial small subunit ribosomal RNA
Source: RNAcentral
UGGGGAAUUUUGGACAAUGGGCGAAAGCCUGAUCCAGCAAUGCCGCGUGUGUGAAGAAGGCCUUCGGGUUGUAAAGCACUUUUGUCCGGAAAGAAAUCCUUGGCUCUAAUACAGUCGGGGGAUGACGGUACCGGAAGAAUAAGCACCGGCUAACUACGUGCCAGCAGCCGCGGUAAUACGUAGGGUGCAAGCGUUAAUCGGAAUUACUGGGCGUAAAGCGUGCGCAGGCGGUUUGCUAAGACCGAUGUGAAAUCCCCGGGCUCAACCUGGGAACUGCAUUGGUGACUGGCAGGCUAGAGUAUGGCAGAGGGGGGUAGAAUUCCACGUGUAGCAGUGAAAUGCGUAGAGAUGUGGAGGAAUACCGAUGGCGAAGGCAGCCCCCUGGGCCAAUACUGACGCUCAUGCACGAAAGCGUGGGGAGCAAACAGGAUUAGAUACCCUGGUAGUCCACGCCCUAAACGAUGUCAACUAGUUGUUGGGGAUUCAUUUCCUUAGUAACGUAGCUAACGCGUGAAGUUGACCGCCUGGGGAGUAUGGUCGCAAGAUUAAAACUCAAAUGAAUUGACGGGGUCAUAGCUGUUUCCU